AUUGAACGCUGGCGGCAGGCUUAACACAUGCAAGUCGAACGAUGAAGAUAUAGCUUGCUAUAUUGGAUUAGUGGCGGACGGGUGAGUAACACUUAGGAAUCUACCUUUUAGCGGGGGAUAGCUCGGGGAAACUCGAAUUAAUACCGCAUAAUUUCUACGGAAUAAAGAGGGCUUUUAGCUCUCACUAGAAGAUGAGCCUAAGUAAGAUUAGCUAGUUGGUGGGGUAAAAGCCUACCAAGGCGACGAUCUUUAGCUGGUCUGAGAGGAUGAUCAGCCACACUGGGACUGAGACACGGCCCAGACUCCUACGGGAGGCAGCAGUGGGGAAUAUUGGACAAUGGGGGCAACCCUGAUCCACCCAUGCCGCGUGUGUGAAGAAGGCCUUUUGGUUGUAAAGCACUUUAAGCAGUGAAGAAGACCUAUUGGUUAAUACCCAAUAGCGAUGACAUUAACUGCAGAAUAAGCACCGGCUAACUCUGUGCCAGCAGCCGCGGUAAUACAGAGGGUGCCAGCGUUAAUCGGAAUUACUGGGCGUAAAGCGAGCGUAGGUGGUUAAAUAAGUCAGAUGUGAAAGCCCUGGGCUCAACCUAGGAACGGCAUCUGAAACUAUUUAACUAAGUAGGUGAGAGGGAAGUAUAAUUUCAGGUGUAGCGGUGAAUGCGUAAGAUCUGAAGGAAUACCGAUGGCGAAGGCAGCUUUCCUGGCAUCAUACUGACACUGAGGCUCGAAAGCGUGGGUAGCAAACAGG
RNAcentral lists this ribosomal RNA (748 nucleotides) under uncultured bacterium. RNAcentral describes it as "bacterial SSU rRNA". It matches the Rfam family "Bacterial small subunit ribosomal RNA", at positions 28 to 776 of the family's 1533-position model. The record is from RNAcentral.